Molecule: long non-coding RNA, 4471 nt
Organism: Phasianus colchicus (ring-necked pheasant)
Lineage: Eukaryota; Metazoa; Chordata; Aves; Galliformes; Phasianidae
Source: RefSeq, a predicted model, not a curated record
AUGAAACAGAAAAAUAAGUGUUACAAGACUACAAGCUGGAUUGAACAGGACACGGUGGCAUUAUUUUUGGAUGAUACAUCUGAAAGCACAAUAUUAAGAAGUACUGCACAGAAGCCAACAGAGAGAACAAUAUCAGAAUUCCUCCUGUUUUUGUAACUGUGAAUUCCGGCUUCCACUAAAGAACAGUGCUGAAUAAGAAAAGCUUCCUCUUCCCCUCCCAUAUACUGCUUGCACAGAAAAUGCAUCUUCAUCAUGCAGUACAGAAAAGCAACAACAGUCACACGCAUAGUCAAAAAGUCACUAAGAAAAGCACCUGAGCCACCAAAAAAAGCCAUCUCCUUCUGUAAAGCAUAGUUUUUCAAAGACUAUCAUCAUGAAGGUAUUUUUUUCCAUGAAAUUGAUUUGUAAUGUGUCUCAACCUCCAUCAGAGCAUUUGGUUGAUAGAGAUGACAUUUAGAAGAAUUAACAUAAUUUAUAUGCGAAGGGAUAAUGACGACAGUCUGCUGUUACAAUCUAUCAGAUGGCAGCUGAAUCUUUCACAGCUUCUCCUCUCUUGUGUAGAAGACCUACUUUUCUUCUGGGUUUGCAUCCCUAAUGGCCAACCCUCUUCUCUUCUAAGAUUUUGUCACAAAAUAACUGCCAAGUGAGCAUCAGUGUGAUAGCCCAUGAAUUAGUAGACCACCUUAAUGAGUUACAUGCAUAGAUUUGUAUAAUGAAACUAGGUGAUUAUUAAUCACAGUUUUAAUUGCCUCAGUGUUUUGCUGCUGAAAGUAAGGAAAGUAUCGGGGAGGGGGAAAGAGGAAUGCAGUUUUACUUUUUAAUUAUAAAGUCAGAAGAAGGAUUCCGAAGCAAUAAUUUUUUUUUUUCCACAAACCAAUUAAAACUAAAUCCAGCUUAACCAAGAGGAAAAUAUUUGCAUUUUUAGGAAACCAGAAAACAUCCAUUAUUUAGGCAAUAAGAAUCCCCAUGACGUGCAAACCUAAGUCUAGAUUCUGUAGCUUUGAAAUAUACUUCUUCUGGCAAGGUGCUUAAAGGACAAACAUUGAUUCAGGGUCUGGCACACCCUUCUAAUAACUAAUGAGAAACUACUUUCCCUUUUAUACACUCUGUAAAGCUUCCCCCUAUUCUCCACAUCUCUUUCUGAGCUUAGAAUGCAGUCAGAAAACAGUAUACAAAAAUGAGGAGGUUGAUGAGGUACCAGAAAAUCCCAGACAUGGAUCAACAAGCUGUUCCCCUUCACAAACAGCAGCAGUAAAACCACUUCUUUAUUCUGCUGGGAGCUCGAUCAUCCCUCAGAACUACAGUCCUUUCCAUCUGGCUACCCUCUGGAAGGACAAGAUCUUUUAGCUUAAGGCAUGCUAUAAUGGGGAAUGUGUAAUUAGCUGUUCUACACAGUAUCACAAAAGGUCAGAAGCAGAAUGGAUGAAAAAUUCUGUCUGUAUUUGCAGAUGGUCUACACUCAUUUUAUUUGCAUUUCUGAACAUGCAGUUGAACUGACAAAGAAUCCAGGUAUGUACGCACGUAAAAUAGAAAUAAGCAAAUUCCUAAUGGCUGUCUGGUGCUGUGCAUUACAGGGUGUUGUAGUUUUAGCUGGGAUGGAAUUGUUUUCUUCAGAGUGACUGGUGUGAUGCUAUGUUUUGGUUCUAAGAGAACACAACAGUGUUGAUAGUUGCUGCUAAGCAACUAAUAGAGCCAAGGCCACUCACAGUGAAGGGCCCAAGGAGCUGGGAGGGAACAGAAUUAGGACAGCUGACUCAAACCGGCCACAGGGAUAUUCUGUACCACCUGACAUCAUGCAGAAGGAGUUCUGAAGGGCUGGGAGUUUGUCUCACUCUUCCACUGCUUGGAGGCUACCUUGGAAAGAAGUUCUGUUGCCCUAGAAAUAAAACUGGAGAGAGAAAGCUCAAGUACUGCAAGAGGAGAGAGACAACAGUCAGCCAAGACCCAGCAGGUAUCGCUGAAACAGAAAAGUCCAAGAGGUUCAGGGAGUUUCCUCCCCUUCUGGAGGAAGGGAAGAAAAACAACUUGUCAGAGGAAGUGCUGAUCCAUCUCACUGACUCAAACAGGAAAGGAGUGAAGAAACAAUGAGAAUGCGUAAGAUGCAAAGGGUUAAAGUUCCUGGAUAAAAUUACUGUACUCUGCCAUCCCCUUUUUUGUAUUGUUUUGUUGAGAUGACCUGCUGCUAGGCCACUCAGUUCAACAGAAUUACACACCUACACGUUAUAAAAUAAAAGCUUAAGAACUGCCUGUCUGUGGUCAGGAUUAAAUGCAAUCUAAUAAGACUGCAUUAUUAACAGAUCAUGAUUUAAGGUUCAGAAGUGUAACACUGAGGUUCCAGUACACCUGUUUUCAUGCUCUCAAUAGACAAAAGCAGUACCAUUCUACAACCUCACACCUCACCCCUCAUCUGAGAAGUGAAUAAAGCACCGUGGUUAUCAGCAAAGCACAAGCCUGCAAGGAUUUAUCAAUUUAAGCCACCUGUAUUUAGGCUAAGAAAAUUAAUUCUUUUGUGGCCUGCAGAUGUUUCACAUAUCUGCGCAAUGGAAGGAGCUUAACUAGAGAAUUGUUUAGGGGAAGAAAUGAACAGAAUACCAUUUAAGGAGUAGUCACAAUUCUUAUUUAGUGAGAUCUUUUCAAGAAAUAGCUGCUUCCCAAUUCCUCCCCCCUUCAGGAGUUUAAAAUUCAACGGAAGCACUGAAUCAGAGUCAAACUCAGUCACAUGCUAUGACUUGCAUUUUCAUGAAAUCAUCAAAGCAAUUCACUUAACGAUUAUAUAUUCCAUGCAUUUGGAAUAUUGACUCUGCUAAGGCAACAGUUAAUGACCUGGAUUAGGGUGCUGAUGCUGGGCUUGCAUUGCUUUUUGCCAUUGAAUUCUUCCAUAUGACAUUAAUCCCUUUUUUCCAUCUCCAGCAAUGUGACUGCUGAAAGAGCUCAGUAACUGAGUUAAAUUUCUCCUCCUGCAUUUUAGAACAGCAUGUUCUGCUAUACUAUCUGUUAGAAAGACAGUUUUCUAGUACAGAUUCAUACACCUCACAACAUAUUUCCCCAUGUAAGAGAAUAAAAAUAAGGUUGCUCAGUUUCAACAAGAGUUCAGGGUUUCUCAAGCAGCAAUGGCCUUUGCUGUCUUAAUUUAAAAAAAAAAAAAAAAAGGAAAAAAAAGGCAGGAAAAAUGGAAAGAAAGUAAGUGCUCAGCAGCCCUUCCUUAACCCAUCAUUAGUUAGGGAUUUAAAAAGCAGCACACAGAAUUGGCCUCCACCUUAUUUUUCCUAGGUUAAAAAACAGUCUCUUAUGCUGGAAGAGUACCGCAAAGGUGAGCAGUAGAAGGGCACAAUGUCUAUUAUCUUCCUUCCCCUCCCCUAGCAGUCAGCAACAAAGUUGUCACACAGGCCUGUUACCAAAUCAAAUGGUUUACCUUGACACACACUUUCCAUUAUAGCUAAACCAGUACAUCAAUGAACAACAUCUAUGUAUGAUUUCUACUGCUCAAACUUAGUAAAAAGAGACAAGUGCUGUUGUUUUUGCACUAUCCUAUUUUGUCCAGUCAUCACAAAUUCUAUAAGUUUUAUUUUCUCCUAACAGUAUUCUUGAAGGCUUAAAUGUCCUGGUAAAUUCAUAUGCUCAUUCCCAGUACAACUUGAUGCUGCUGUAAUCUCCAAAUGGAAACCAUGUGCAGAUGGUAAAACAUCCAUUAGCAAAAACAGGGCCCACUCCAGAAUGGAGUACAGCCCCCGCACUGACUUGGUCUUCAUUCACAUAUGAGACAGUGCAGAAGACCACCUGACUGAAGGGUGGAAAACACACUUUUUCUAAGGUAAUACAUAUAGAAACUAGAAUAUAUAGCUUCUAAUAUCCCAUCCAGCAUACUGACUUCAUUUUCUUUCAGGGUAAACAACACUAAAAUACUGUGCAAAACUUUACUCACUUUAACUAUUUCCUUUAACUAACCUACCCUUUCAGGUCUAUUGGUCUUAAUCCAAGACACCAGGUGUUUGUAUAUAAGGGCUGCUCCAAAAGUAACACCUGCUUUAUUGUGUUGGCCCACGACAUCAGAGGCAGAUGUGGUGGUAACAUAGCAGAGGUUGAACAUUCCUACCAAUAUUCUGUUCCAUUUUGUUGCAAUGCAACAGAUGGCAGCAGAGAAGCAGUUUGACAAAAUGGCCUCUGACAUGAAAGUGCAGAUGAAGCAAAGGUAUGGAAUUGAAUUCCUCCAUGUGGAAAAAGUGGCACCAACUGACAACUCAUCAGUGCUUGUUGAACACAGAUGAAGACCAAACAGUGGAGAGGAGAGUGAUGCAGCGGGUGGUGUGUUUUAUUUUCAGUAGCAACAGUGUCACAGCAGCUUUGAAAUAGUGCCUCACCUCCACAGAGAAGCAGAGUUGUAAAAGCGCAACAUGCAGGCUCUUGUUCAUCACUGAUGAAAACACACAGCCAGUGGUUGUGAUGAUUUUGAAAAAGACUUUUGUAGCUGAGA